Molecule: transfer RNA, 73 nt
Filed under: Camelus bactrianus (Bactrian camel)
Lineage: Eukaryota; Metazoa; Chordata; Mammalia; Artiodactyla; Camelidae
Also listed under: 3 other names
Rfam family: tRNA
About the family: Transfer RNA (tRNA) molecules are approximately 80 nucleotides in length.
Source: Rfam by way of RNAcentral
GGAGGGUAAGCUCAGUGGUUAGAAUACAUGCUUAGCAUGCAGGAGGUCCUGGGUUCAAUCCCCAGUACCUCCA